RNAcentral lists this ribosomal RNA (95 nucleotides) under Acanthosepion pharaonis. Lineage: Eukaryota; Metazoa; Mollusca; Cephalopoda; Sepiida; Sepiidae. The record is from RNAcentral.
CACCACCAGUUCCCGUACGAUCACCGGAGUUAAGCAACGUCGAACCUCGUCAGUACCAAGAUGAGUAACUGCUUGGUAAUACCAGGUGCUGCAAG